CCACAGCUCCAGCCAAUCUCGAGCCGGAGGCAGGCUUGCCAGGGCUGUGAUUGGCCAGUUGGUCCUCCCUGCCUUGGAAUGUUGGGUCCUUAACAAAGGAAUGAGGAAGGAAGGUGAGUCACCUGGGAGGGUGUUAAAGGGCCAGGAGCCAGAAAGAGAAAGGAGGACAGGGAAGCGCUCAGCGGGGGAGAUGGAGUGUCCUGGACCCUAAGACGUGAAAUGAUGAUUCAGUAAAGAACCGAGUAGGAGAGGAGAAAAGUCAUCGAACAGCCCGAAGUUGCUGUAAAAUCCCACAGGAAUCAGAAGGACACCCGAAGUAUCUGUCCGCUCCCCCGUACAGUGUCAUCUUUGUAAGUCUAUAUGGCAACGCGACAUCGGCAGCCGCCUUUGUUCACGCUCCCCAGGCAUCCCUAGUUCACCCCGAUUUGGAAAGCUCUUCCUCACCCCAAGGCCGCCUCUCCCUGCCCUUGCACCGUAACUGAGGAGCCAUCGCUGCUGCUGCGGCCUCUGCCUGGAAGCUUGGUGACCCCUCUCACCCUCCUACGGUCCCCUGGACAAGCCCUGCCCUCCACCUCCGUCUGAUCUGAGUCUGAUCUGAUCCUUCUUCCAGGUUUGGUGACCCCAGCACAUGCUCCGACGUCUUCCCCCACCUUCCCUCCUGCUUGUGAGGGCAAGGGCCCUCCGCUGGUGAUGCUUGUGCGUCCUGUGACGCUGCUUGUGCACUGUGCUCUGUACUCUGCACACGACCCCAUCAGCACGUGCCGUCUUGCACUGAUGCUUUGGGUUUCUCAUUGACUCCUCUCUUCCAGGUCCUGAGCUCGAGGGCAGUAGGGUAACUCCGCCUGGGUGUUCAGGGUGUUGCAGGGCCUGGCCCGGAAUGCGCACAGCAAACGUGUUACAUGAAUCUGCGAGUGUGUGUGUGUGUGUGUGUGUGUGUGUGUGUGUAACUGUGUAUCUGGGUUAAGAUUAUAAAGACCUCACUGAACACCUCGAUCUUUUCAUUGAUAACUGUGCUACCCCAAGAAUCGGUCUCCUAUCUGGGGUUCCAGACAAGUCCCACUGGCCAGAGGCAGGGGGGCGGAGUUAGGCAGAAAGCUGUGCCCCAAGCCCAGGGCCAGGGUGCCAGGGGCCAGGCCAGGGGCAAAGGGCACAGGCCCCACCCUGGAACUGAAAGGGGCAGGGAAGGGGUGCCAAAGCCGGGUCCUAGGUCAGUGCCCCCCCCCAUGAGUUCCCUGCCCCCGGCUGGGCAGGAUGUGGUGGCAGCUGCAGGAGGGUGGGCAGGAUGUGGGGGUGGGGGCAGCUGAAACGGAGCCUGACUAUCGUCUCCCCAGCUCCUCCCUUCUGCCCCCCCCAUCCGCCCCCUACAGAUCACGUGCUUCCAGCUCGGGCACCGACGGACUAUUUCCUUCUUUCCGCGGAAGGACAUAAUUGACACCGCAAAUUCGAGUCACCAGCGACUUGAGCUGUGCCACGCCUUUUUAUAGCCCUGUCGUUCAGGACAUAAAGUUUGCCAGACACACA
Long non-coding RNA from Pteropus alecto (black flying fox), 1521 nucleotides. RefSeq lists it as uncharacterized. The record is from RefSeq and is a predicted model, not a curated record. The transcript is spliced from 2 exons. NCBI's taxonomy places the organism in Eukaryota, Metazoa, Chordata, Mammalia, Chiroptera, Pteropodidae.